This 730-nucleotide non-coding RNA is filed under the name Chaetoderma nitidulum. The record is from RNAcentral. Lineage: Eukaryota; Metazoa; Mollusca; Caudofoveata; Chaetodermatida; Chaetodermatidae.
AAAGUUUGAUUUUGGCUUUUAAAUAGCGGUUAGGUUGCAGAUUUAUGGUAUUUUUGGUAUUAAAUUAGAGCUUACCAAUGCGGAGGGUUAAAGUGCUAAGGAGACUUAGAUUUAUAAAUCUAUAAAGAGAUGGCUAAAAUUGUGCCAGCAGCUGCGGUUAAACAAUUGUCUCUAGUUAUUUGUUUUGGUGGAAUUAUAGACUAAAUAGUAAUACUUAUACUUUAUUAAAAUUAGGUAAAAUAAAAUUUAAUUUAUGAGCCUUAAAGGUAAAGAAGGAAUAUAGUGAAAUUUAGGUUAAAACUAGGAUUAGAUACCCUAUUAUACUAAAAGUAAAGCUUUCUAGGUUAUUAUGAGUGUAAGCUUAAACUCUAAAGGAUUUGGCGGUUUUUUGAAAUCAGGGGAGCUUGUUGUAUAAUUGAUAGUCCACAAUUAUUUCUUUUAAUUAUAGUUUGUGUAUUUCCGUUAUCCGUUUUUUUUUAAUAAUCUUGAAAAAAACAAAGCACAGUUAUGUUUCAUUUCAGGUUAAAUGCAGCCGAUAUAAAAGUAUUGAUGAGUUACAUUAGAGAGAGAACAGGAGUUUGAAGUAUUUUAGAAGAGAAAAGAUAGGACUUGAAAGUAAGAGAAAAAAAUCAGUUUUUUUGAAUAAAAGAGAAAAAUGUACAUAUCGCCCGUCGCUCUUGAAUGUGAGAUAAGUCGUAACAUAGUAAGGUUAGUGGAAACUGGUCUUAGA